GGUUAAGGUAUUGGCCUGUCCACAAAGGGGUUGUGGGUUAGUGUCCCACUAGGGUCAUGACCACACCUCAUGUGACACCAGUACAGGAUUUUCAAGGAAGCAGACUUGAGUGUGGUUUAGAUAAGCUUGAAGCUUUCAUUACAAUCAAGCUAAAAUGAAUUAGUGUAAACUAGACCAGUAAACGUUCACUUAGUCUAAGGAAUAAUUGACCAAUCACAACUUGUUUAGGUUCCCAUUAGACACACAUGAUCGUAUGGCUUAUUGUAACCAUUUUCUUAUUGGUACAAAAAUUUACAAAAUACAUAUACCAGUAAUAGAUACGUAGCUAAACAAAAUUUCUCUGUUAAAGAAAUUAAGGUGUAUGCAUUUGUCAUUUAAGAAGUAUUGUUCAAUGAACAUUAUAAUAUAGGCAAAAUUUAAUGAAUAGACACUAAUAGGCCAACAACAUUUGUGUCGCGCCAUGAGAUUUUUGGCCCAAAUGCGGCGCUACGUCAUUCGAGAAAAACCCGAUUAAAGUUACGUCACAAAAAUGAGUGGAGUUCAACACGUUUUCGCGUCAAUUAAUGCAUUUUAUCAAUUAACACUAUACUAUUGGGACGAUAAAUGAAUGAAGAGACAAACGUCAUUUACCAAGCAGGUAUUGUAACAGUUCCGUGUUUUGACAUUUCGUUUCAUUAUCAAAUAAUUGACAAUUUAUCGCCCUUUGUAUCAACACGCCAUUUGUAAACAUGAAAGGUCGUGUGAAAGGAAAUUUUUAAACAGUAAUUUGACGAUUGAUUUAAAAGGGAUAAUGAAUGUCAUUGAGCGAUUUACUGAUCAACUAUUGAUGAACUACUGAGAAACAUCUGGCAUAUUGCUAUGACCUUAAACAAAAAAAGGAAUUCUCAAGGCAUGCCUACAUACCACAUGUUGGAAGAGUUUGUGGAAUGGCUGAAGGAAGAAAGAAUUUCCAGCCAGAAAAAUAAAAUUCUUUAUGAAUUUGUGAAUGGAAAUGAAACCCAAGGAACUAAUAUAUUUGCUUACCAUCCAGUUGAAAGUAUGCCAAUGGAAUAAAGUGCAACUGUCAAAGAAGUGCACAAAAUAAGGUCAUGUUUUCUGCAAAAGUUCACCAAGCUGAUUCAAACUACAUAUGGGAGUCAAGAAAAAAGUAAAACUAACUGAACUGCCACAGUUCAGCUGUGAGAAAUGUUUGGUAAAAGUAUGUUUUGUUGUCAGAACAGCAGUGAAGUGGUUAGAGUAAAACUGUCUUCAUUGUUUAAGCAAUACAGAUUUUUUUUUAAAAAAACAUACUCCAUGCAUAAUAUAUCUUGAGUGCUCUUUUUUAUUUAAAUAAUCAUACAGUUUCAAGAAAUUUGACAAUAAAUGCUAUCUUUAAUUUUAUAAGAAAAUAGUGCAUUGUUGCCAUGGUAUUAAACAUUAAUCUGACAAUAAAUUAUUGUAAAACAUCUUUCAUGUUUAUAUGUUCUAUUUGUUAAAAUAAAUAAUGUAAGGUCAUAUUCUUUUCUAAGUAGUAACUGCAUCAACAAAACAUUAAGUUAUCUUUGAAUCUGCCUUAAGGAGGUAGGUUACCUUUAUAUUUGUAUGUGCGCAUGUCCAACCGGAAGCUAACGUGACGAUUUACGACGACGUUUACGACAAACUAAAUGUGUUUGUAUAUUCAUUCUUCUGAAAACAAAUCAUAGACCUGUCUUCGAUCUGACGCUUUAUGGUUUAAUAAUGCAGAAAUAAUGAAUAAAUUGCCGCAGAAAGGCUUCAAAACAAUGUUGCCUUAAAAUGACGUCAUUGACGUCAUGACAUUACGUGUCAGUUACCGCGCAAAAUUAAUAGCUUUUAUCUUGAAAGUACGUAAUUCUGUGCAUUUUCUUUAUUCAAACUAUUUUCAGAUAACCAUUAUUUGCUGAAAUAUUUUUUAUGAGUCUUUUGCUCUGAAUAAUAAUCAAUAUUUUGCUUCUUUUAUGUAGUUAUAUUGAAAUGUUAUGCGGAAUGUAAGAAAAUGGAUGAUGGUAACCAGUGUUAUUUGGAAUAUAGUUUGGUGAGAACCUACUUGUUACGGCCAUUUUCAAAUAAAAAAUCUAGCAGUUUGAUUUGUAAUACCUAUUUUACAGGUUCCGUUGAUAAUUUGUUACUUAUAUACUAAAACUAAGAUCUAAAAUUGUUCAAAUUUCAGUAGAAAAUUGUGGUUUCUUGAAUUGAAUUGAUGUUACCAUGGAAACGAAGCCCGUGACCUAUGUAUCUAAAUGUAAAAUUCAAAAGUGUUGACACUAGUCUAUUUAAGAAACACAGCUUCGGCUUUUUAUUUUCAUUUCAACAAUAUCCAUGAGAAUAAUAGUAGCAUGCUGAACGAUUUUUCCAUGAAAAAUGCCAGACGAGGGGUACUGCUGUAAGUAUUCUAAGCUUAGAAAUUUGUUUGAAUAAAUGCAGAUAACACGAAAAUAUAACUUACAUUAGAAAUAAUAUGUUUUAAAGCUACAUCAACUAGAAAGAUAAUCUUAUUCAAUAUUAUUUUAUAAGAAAUUACGACAAAAAGCAAGAUAUAAGCCAUUUUAAACAUCUCUGUUGCCAUGGUUACUUUAAACUUUAAGAAAAAUAGGGUACCAUGUAUAGUGCUUGGUAUUUUGCUAAUAAUAUUCACCCAAAUAUUCCAUGUUUGUCAUUAACAGAAUGGCACUGAAGCCGUCGAAAACCCCAAUUUUUAUACAUAGUUGUUUAAAAAUGAGAGAAAAUGCGUUACCAUGGAAACACGAGCCCCGCGACAUAUACAUUUUAAGAUUAUAUUAGAAAGCUAACGUUCAUACUAGUAAAAUUAUAGAUUAUGCUGACUUCUACAGAUAUCAAUGAAACUAAAAUACACUGAAAAGUGUUAAAUAUCCACAUUUUCCUUCUUCUUUCAAUAUGAAAUACCUUUGGAGGGUCAUGUUCUUCAAACCUGUAUAAAAAUUGAACUUGAAGGGACAGAGACAAACGAAACUGAGAUUUUAGCAGUUAAAACUUCAUAUUACACGAAAUACAAAAAGAUGCUGCGGUUCAACUAAUCUGAAUUUACCCUUGUAACAAGGUAACCUACCUCCUUAAACUAGCAAGAGUUGUGUCGUGUGUAUCAGAAAAUUAUGUAUAUCCCAAACAGUGUUACAUCAAUUUACAUGAAAUGAGGUUUUCUUACUUUUGAAUAUGAAAUUAGACAGCUUUCAAUGUAUAUAUUAUUUUGAAAAACACUUUAACAUAUUCAAUUAUUUCAAGAACUUGAUAGAAAUGGUACUUUUGGUAAGAAAAUACAUCAUGGUUGCUAUGGUAACGAGUCACUGAUCAGUGUGACAUCUGUACUACUACUUUAAGCAAAAUCAGUUUUAAUAUUUCUAACAAUUAUAUCUUUUUGCCUGAUUUUCUGUCUAACAGUUACAAAGAAAUAUGUCAAUGUGUCAAGUGUUCUAACAACAAGGUUAAUUUGUCAUAGUUUUGUCAUGUUAUCUAACCCGUAAUCCAGUAAAUCUAUUUUUGUACAAAAGAAAGCCAUAUUAAGAUUUUUGCAAAAAAAAAAUGUUAUCUUUAAACUCUGUCUGUACACUGAAAAAUGUUGACGGUAUAUUAACUUCACUUUCUUGAUGUAAAUUUUGGCUGGAUUUAUCAAGGAACUAUUCAAAUUGGAUUUAACAACUGUGUUGCCAUGGAAACGAUUUUAAGGGGAAAAUAAUAUGUGUUUAUAUAAAAAAAAUGAAACAGAAAUAAAUAAAUUUAAUUAACUGUAUGUUAUGUUUGAUAUUUCAUUAUGUAUUUUUUUUUUUCAUAUUAUUUUAAGAAGGAGUCUGAAUAAAGAUAUUCUGCCUCUAUUUUGAUACAGUUAGACGAAAAUAUGGUGUCCGAAAGGCGGUAAUUUCUCCAUAACAACAGCUGAUUUCUGUUGUCUAAUAGCAGAUUUUUACUUGGAACAUGACAAUCUGUCAGAUUACCUGAAAACUCCAUUUUCGACCAAAAUCGCAUUUGGGCCAAAAAUCUCAUGGC
This is a long non-coding RNA of Mercenaria mercenaria, 3996 nucleotides long. RefSeq lists it as uncharacterized. The transcript has 3 exons. Lineage: Eukaryota; Metazoa; Mollusca; Bivalvia; Venerida; Veneridae. The record is from RefSeq and is a predicted model, not a curated record.